AGGAGGCAGCAGUGAGGAAUAUUGGACAAUGGGCGCAAGCCUGAUCCAGCAAUGCCGCGUGAGUGAUGAAGGCCUUAGGGUUGUAAAGCUCUUUCGGCGGGGACGAUGAUGACGGUACCCGCAGAAGAAGCCCCGGCUAACUUCGUGCCAGCAGCCGCGGUAAUACGAAGGGGGCAAGCGUUGUUCGGAAUUACUGGGCGUAAAGGGCGCGCAGGCGGCCAAUCAAGUCAGAUGUGAAAGCCCCGGGCUCAACCUGGGAAUAGCAUUUGGGACUGGUUGGCUAGAGAUCGGGAGAGGAGAGUGGAAUUACCAGUGUAGAGGUGAAAUUCGUAGAUAUUGGGAAGAACACCGGUGGCGAAGGCGGCUCUCUGAACCGAUACUGACGCUGAGGCGCGAAAGCGUGGGGAGCAAACAGGAUUAGAUACCCGCGUA
RNAcentral lists this ribosomal RNA (432 nucleotides) under uncultured bacterium. Its description in RNAcentral is "bacterial SSU rRNA". It matches the Rfam family "Bacterial small subunit ribosomal RNA", at positions 343 to 792 of the family's 1533-position model. The record is from RNAcentral.